Long non-coding RNA from Cyprinus carpio (common carp), 1182 nucleotides. Lineage: Eukaryota; Metazoa; Chordata; Actinopteri; Cypriniformes; Cyprinidae. The record is from Ensembl.
AUGCACUUUGCAGACGCCGCGGCGGCGGUACGAGCGGCGGUAGAAGUGACGUUUUGGAUGUCUACCUACUGUAGUUUAACAAACAUACAAAGACUCACAUGUACAUACAAAAGGGGAGCAAACUGGAUGAAAGAAAUCAUUGGAAGAACAGGGAAUGAAGCUAUGGAAAAGGAGUCUACUGAUUCCUCAGUGAUACAAUAUUUCUCUGAGAAAUUUCCAAAUUUGUGGUCAACUUCUAAACUUGAUGUUGGUCUUUGCAGGAUUGAGCCUUUGAAUGUUUCAGGUCGGUCCAUCCUAUACAUCCUCCAGUAUUUCAGUAUCCUCUUCGGAGAGAAGCAGAGAGAGCUGCACAGGAAAUUGUGAACCAGCUUCAGGAAUCAGGGAUUUUGGUAAGGUGUAGUUCCUCAACGAACUUACCUAUGCAGCCUGUGAAAAAAAAAAUAAGCCAGAUGGUAGCUGUAGAUUAACUAUAGACUACACCGCAUUGAAUGCUGUGACUCCUAAAAUAACUGCUAUUGUGCUAAUCCGUCAACCAUUCUUAAUGACAUUUCUCCAAACCAUCGUUAUUUUAGCGCAGUAGACAUAACCAAUGUUUUUGGUUUUGUCCUAUCAGAGAAGAAGUACAAUACAGAUUUGCCUUUCAAUAUUGUGACGACAUUCUUCUCACGUUUCAAGACAAAGCACAACACUUGAGUGUACUCUUUCGGUUGCUGAAAGCUCUCCAAGAGGCGGGUUUCCUCUUGAACAAACAAAAGGUGCAAUUGUUUCAAUCGGGAGUUACAUUUUUAGGUCAAAGUAUAGGUCGUGAGGAAAAGAGACCUCUUCCAGACCGGGUCAUAGCCAUUACUCAAUUAAAUAAGCCAACCACAGUUACUGGUGUAAGAUCAGUGAUGGGGCUAUUUAAUUUUAAUCGGAUGUAUAUCCCAGAUUUUUCUGAUUUGGCUAAACCUCUAACAGAGGCUCUUAAAGGAGGCCUUCUGGGUGCUUCCCCUUUGGAGUGGACAGCGGACAUGGCUGAGUCCUUUACUCUCCUCAAAUCCGCAUUAGCCUCCUCUUCUGCAUUACAUCACCCAGGCAUGACAAAGGCAUUCCAUGUAUGGACACAUGUUGGCCCAAGUGCUUAUAACUGUGUGCUGUGACAAUGUAAAGGUGACAAAAGUUAUGGCAUUGUUGGGUAUUAUU